Long non-coding RNA from Mytilus trossulus (common blue mussel), 556 nucleotides. RefSeq lists it as uncharacterized. The transcript has 3 exons. Lineage: Eukaryota; Metazoa; Mollusca; Bivalvia; Mytilida; Mytilidae. The record is from RefSeq and is a predicted model, not a curated record.
UUUUAAUGGGAGAUAACUCUACUUGUCUUAUUUGAUAAAUUAUUUUUACUGUAAAAUUGUUCCCCUUUGUCAACUUCCUCUUUGAAAACAAGGUUGUUGUGAUAAUGUUAUUGUGUAACAGGUGAAAAAGCUAGGCCAUGUCUACAACUGCAAAAGUAACAUUAGCAACAUCUAUAGUUGCAACUGUAGGAAUAAUCUCCUUUGUGCAUUAUAAACAGAAAAAUGACCAAAUGGUAAUGAGAGAAGGAGUAUUGAGAGACAUGGAAAGGCAAGACAAAAAAGCCCAGAACUUAAUGGAAUUAAAUAGACAGAAAGCAAUGACAAAAGCUUUACUUCAACAGAGGGAACAAGAGGAACAAAAUCUGAAGCAUGAAAGUAGUUGAAGACACUGUGUAUGUAUAACACAUGAUGAGAUUAUUACCUCUUACUAUGGAUAAUCAUGUUACCUCAGCAACAAAUUCUAGUAGAUGAAAGUGUCUUUCCUGUAGAAAUCAUCACCAAGAUAACAUUUUUUAUGUAUUUUAUUGUUAAUAAAAGAAUUGUUGAUUGCUCAUUA